CACGAAUACAAUAGCUUUCAUUGAGUUCUGAGUCUUUCUAGCAAAUUAUCUAAGCUGAGGGUUGGUUUUAGGAAUCCUCCAGGCUUACAAGUACUCUUGUCUUCCAUUCACUCCGACUUCUACCAACCAGUCACUUUUUACCUUCCAGAUGCCAACUGUGGGGGGAAUAAAGUUGCUUAGCAACGUGGAAAUGGGAGAAGCUAUAAGGCUUCCCAGUGUUCACGCGAUCGUCCCUAUUUCUGUGCCUCUUCCACCUUUCAUCCCAGAGGUUAACUGGUGCUGUGAAUUCUGAAAUGUGUCAGACCCACACUGCAGUCUGAAGGCUCUCUCGACCUACGCUUGCUCCAUCUCCCGUUUAUCCUCCAUUUAUGAUGUUUCCUCUAACAAAUUCUUGCAUAUCUAACUUUGUCAUGUCAUCUGCUUCUCUGAGGACUCAAAUUAUCACCCGGGAUUUUGGAAAGAAGUUUUAUUAGAAGUUUUAUUAGAUGUCUAGUCCACUGUCUUAAUAAGAAACCACCAUGAAGUUUUUAUGUUCUUCAAAGAUUACACAUUUCAAGUUUCAUUUAUCUAUGGGAGAAUGAAUUACUUUCAACACAUUUAUAUCUGAGUGAGUUUGUUUAUUGUUCUGAUUUACUGAAACUUAAAAUAUUCCAUCAAAUUAUCCAGGAAAAUCCAGGUGGCAGAAAUAUAUAAUAUGUCCAUUUCAUCAAGAGGUCUCAAAUAAAUUUUAAAAGGCCAGAAAAUGAUAUAUAUACUAUGCCAUUUAAAUCACUUCUAUCUUCUGUACUUAAGAACUCAAGUAUAGAAAUAAACUGUGGGCUGAAGUAACAUUGUAACCUGCUCCCAACAUGACUGCAUAGGUGUCCAAGGUUAAGUGUGAAGAUUACUGUGAGGUCUGAAGUUACUUGACUAAUCAAUCCCAUUUGAAUUUCAAUCCAAGCAGCAUAUUUUACACACACCUGAAGGAAAUAUCUUCAGUGUGUUCAUGUGUGUGUCUAUGUGCAUGUAUGUGUAGGGGAUAGGUGUAAUUAGGGAAGGGCUGACCGAACAACAUUGAUAAGUACAUGCUAGAAGUCUGCUGUUGUUGGUAAUACAGAAACAUACACAGUCUUCAUAUUCAAAGUCUUCACGGGGAUGUCUUCUGUAAUU
RNAcentral lists this long non-coding RNA (1149 nucleotides) under Pan troglodytes (chimpanzee). RNAcentral describes it as "long non-coding RNA NONPTRT017541". Lineage: Eukaryota; Metazoa; Chordata; Mammalia; Primates; Hominidae. The record is from RNAcentral.